CCUACGGGAGGCAGCAGUGAGGAAUAUUGGUCAAUGGACGCAAGUCUGAACCAGCCAUGCCGCGUGCAGGAAGACGGCUCUAUGAGUUGUAAACUGCUUUUGUACGAGGGUAAACGCAGAUACGCGUAUCUGUCUGAAAGUAUCGUACGAAUAAGGAUCGGCUAACUCCGUGCCAGCAGCCGCGGUAAUACGGAGGAUUCAAGCGUUAUCCGGAUUUAUUGGGUGUAAAGGGUGCGUAGGCGGUCGGAUAAGUUAGAGGUGAAAUCCCGGGGCUCAACUUCGGAAUUGCCUCUGAUACUGUUCGGCUAGAGAGUAGUUGCGGUAGGCGGAAUGUAUGGUGUAGCGGGGAAAUGCUUAGAGAUCAUACAGAACACCGAUUGCGAAGGCAGCUUACCAGGCUACUUCUGACGUUGAGGCACGAAAGCGUGGGGAGCAAACAGGAUUAGAUACCCCUGUAGUC
RNAcentral lists this ribosomal RNA (460 nucleotides) under uncultured bacterium. RNAcentral describes it as "partial 16S ribosomal RNA". It matches the Rfam family "Bacterial small subunit ribosomal RNA", at positions 338 to 795 of the family's 1533-position model. The record is from RNAcentral.